This 249-nucleotide ribosomal RNA is filed under the name uncultured bacterium. Its description in RNAcentral is "partial 16S ribosomal RNA". It matches the Rfam family "Bacterial small subunit ribosomal RNA", at positions 524 to 773 of the family's 1533-position model. The record is from RNAcentral.
UACGGAGGGUGCAAGCGUUGUCCGGAAUCACUGGGCGUAAAGGGCGCGUAGGCGGCUCAUGAAGGCUGUGGUGAAAGUCCGGGGCUCAACCUCGGAUCGGCCGUGGCGACUCGUGGGCUGGAGCACUGUAGAGGCGGGUGGAAUUCCGGGUGUAGCGGUGGAAUGCGUAGAGAUCCGGAAGAACACCAGUGGCGAAGGCGGCCCGCUGGGCAGUGGCUGACGCUGAGGCGCGACAGCGUGGGAGCAAAC